Molecule: ribosomal RNA, 506 nt
Filed under: uncultured bacterium
Lineage: Bacteria
Description: partial 16S ribosomal RNA
Rfam family: Bacterial small subunit ribosomal RNA
Source: RNAcentral
AGUGAACGCUGGCGGUAGGCCUAACACAUGCAAGUCGAACGGCAGCACAGGAGAGCUCGCUCUCUGGGUGGCGAGUGGCGGACGGGUGAGGAAUACAUCGGAAUCUACUUUUUCGUGGGGGAUAACGUAGGGAAACUUACGCUAAUACCGCAUACGACCUACGGGUGAAAGCAGGGGACCUUCGGGCCUUGCGCGAUUGAAUGAGCCGAUGUCGGAUUAGCUAGUUGGCGGGGUAAAGGCCCACCAAGGCGACGAUCCGUAGCUGGUCUGAGAGGAUGAUCAGCAACACUGGAACUGAGACACGGUCCAGACCCCUACGGGAGGCAGCAGUGGGGAAUAUUGGACAAUGGGCGCAAGCCUGAUCCAGCCAUACCGCGUGGGUGAAGAAGGCCUUCGGGUUGUAAAGCCCUUUUGUUGGGAAAGAAAUCCAGCUGGCUAAUACCCGGUUGGGAUGACGGUACCCGAAGAAUAAGCACCGGUUAACUUCGUGCCAGCCGCCGCCGUAA